GACCUGGCUGGGUGGUCCGCUUAACGGCGUGUACUGUUCGGCUGGGCCUUACCUCUUGGUGAGCCAGUGUGCCCUUUAUUGGUGUGCAUUGGGGAACCAGGACUUUUACCUUGAAAAAAUUAGAGUGUUCAAAACAGGCAUUAUUGCUUGAAUACAUUAGCAUGGAAUAACGGAAUAGGA
Molecule: ribosomal RNA, 180 nt
Filed under: uncultured Glomeromycotina
Lineage: Eukaryota; Fungi; Glomeromycota
Description: partial small subunit ribosomal RNA
Source: RNAcentral